This 253-nucleotide ribosomal RNA is filed under the name uncultured bacterium. RNAcentral's name for it is "partial 16S ribosomal RNA". It matches the Rfam family "Bacterial small subunit ribosomal RNA", at positions 524 to 776 of the family's 1533-position model. The record is from RNAcentral.
GACAGAGGGUGCAAACGUUGCUCGGAAUUACUGGGCGUAAAGCGCGUGUAGGCUGACCGGAAAGUCGGGCGUGAAAGCCCUGGGCUCAACCCAGGAACUGCACUCGAAACUCCCGGUCUAGAGUGGUGGAGAGGGAAGUGGAAUUCCUGGUGUAGAGGUGAAAUGCGUAGAUAUGUGGAGGAACACCGAUGGCGAAGGCAGCCCCCUGGGUCAACACUGACGCUCAUGCACGAAAGCGUGGGGAGCAAACAGG